CUUGAAGCAAUUUCUUUCAUUGGCCAGGCAUGGCUCUCAUGAUGACAUUGGUGUUCUUAUAAUAAGAGAUACUGAAGACCUUGGCGUCUCUGCCAUGUGAGGACACGAGAUGAAGGUGUCACCUGCAAGCCAGGAAGAGAGUACUCAUGAGGACCUGACCAUAUGGCAUCCGAUCUUGGGCUGCUGGUCUCCAAAACUUUCUGUCUCUCUUGCUACCUUGUGAAGAAGAAUUCAACCGCUUCGCCUUCCACCGUGAUUACGUUUCCUGAAGCAUUCCUAGCCACGUGGAACUGUGAGUCAAUUAAAUCCUUUUCCUUUAUAAAUUACCCAAUUUCAAGUAUUUCUUCAUAGAAGCUUGAGAAGGAACUAUUAGCCUGGUGCAAAGGUAAUUGUAGUUUGUGCCAUUGUUUUUAAAGUAAGGGUCAAACCUGCAAUUACUUCCACACCAACCUAAUAAUACAUAUACUAUCCAGACUUCUUGGUUUUCAAAAGUUUCUCUGUUGUAAACACUCCAAUGAUAGUAUAAUCGCAUUGCUAUUUUUCUUUUAGAAGUUUAUUUGCCAAAAUCCAUAACAUAGAAGAAGAUAGAAAUAAUUGGUGCUUAAUUGGUUUACAGUUAUAUCAGAGGCAAUCAUAGUAUGAGUGAAGACCUCAUAAGGAUAGAAUCAUAUCAGUAAUGUUUAUAUCUUCUGUGAAUUAUUAUGAAGCUUUAGUGUCUCUAUUUCUCUACUGAAAUGUAUGUACAGUACCUAGUGUUUCCUCCUAAGUACUUGGGCUUCUCCGACCUGCAGCAUAUAGGCCACAAGCAGCCCAGCGCAGCUUUGAAUGUGGCCCAACACAAAUUUAUAAAUUUUCUUAAAACAUUAUGAGAUUAAAAAAAAAUUUUCUUAGCUCAUCAGCUAUUGUUAGUGUUAGCACAUUUCAUGUGUGGCCAAAGACAAUUCUUCUUCCAGUGUGACCCAGGGAAGCCAAAAGAUUAGAUACUCCAGACUUCAGUGAUUGAAUAUAAAGGACUAUUAAAAAGGUUCUUCAUUUAGCACUCUAGACAGGAGGACAAUUUAUUGCUAAAAUUUUCAGUUUACCGAUUUUAUUUUAUAGCUGCUUUGUCAAAGUUUACAUAUUUUUAAGAUUUUACAAAGCAAUUGUAUGUUAAAUAAAAUUCAGAAAGCAAAUAGAAUAUUAAUAUCUCACAUUAUAUAAUAUAUAAUUUAUACACAGGUAUAUAUACACACAAAAUAUACAUAUAUACAUAUAAAAUAUAUACAUAUAUGUAUACAUUUUUAUAUAUACAUAUGUAUCCAUAUACAAAUAUAUAUACACAAUAAAAUGUACAUAUACA
Molecule: long non-coding RNA, 1339 nt
Filed under: Callithrix jacchus (white-tufted-ear marmoset)
Lineage: Eukaryota; Metazoa; Chordata; Mammalia; Primates; Cebidae
Description: lncRNA (ENSCJAG00000087082.1)
Source: RNAcentral